AGAGUUUGAUCCUGGCUCAGAACGAACGCUGGCGGCAGGCCUAACACAUGCAAGUCGAGCGCGCCCUUCGGGGUGAGCGGCGGACGGGUUAGUAACGCGUGGGAACGUACCCUUUGGUAGGGAAUAGCCACUGGAAACGGUGAGUAAUACCCUAUGAGCCCUUCGGGGGAAAGAUUUAUCGCCAAAGGAUCGGCCCGCGUUAGAUUAGGUAGUUGGUGGGGUAAUGGCCUACCAAGCCUACGAUCUAUAGCUGGUUUUAGAGGAUGAUCAGCAACACUGGGACUGAGACACGGCCCAGACUCCUACGGGAGGCAGCAGGUGGGAAUCUUGGACAAGUGGGGCAACCCUGAUCCAGCCAUGCCGCGUGAGUGAAGAAGGCCUUAGGGUACGUAAAGCUCUUUCGCCUGUGAAGAUAAUGACGGUAGCAGGUAAACGAAACCCCGGCUAACUCCGUGCCAGCCGCCGC
RNAcentral lists this ribosomal RNA (466 nucleotides) under uncultured bacterium. Its description in RNAcentral is "bacterial SSU rRNA". It matches the Rfam family "Bacterial small subunit ribosomal RNA", at positions 8 to 518 of the family's 1533-position model. The record is from RNAcentral.